Cygnus olor (mute swan) is the source of this 363-nucleotide long non-coding RNA. RefSeq lists it as uncharacterized. The transcript is spliced from 3 exons. The record is from RefSeq and is a predicted model, not a curated record. NCBI's taxonomy places the organism in Eukaryota, Metazoa, Chordata, Aves, Anseriformes, Anatidae.
GCACCCUGACUUGCGCUGCGAGCAGCAUCCCCGAGCAGAGGCGGUGGCACCAGGGGGUGCUGCGUGCUCGCAGCCUGGACCGCAGACGCUGCUGCUGCGAAAUGGCAAGAAGAAGGCCUCUGACAAUUAUGCCCACAAAAUGUUGCUUCUGCACUUCUACAGCCUCUGACGUCUCGAAAUGCAGGUGCAGUCAGGACCUCAAAAGCCGCAGCCAAGAGCAGCAGCCCCCUGCUCUGUGGGACAUUGGAGGCGAGUUGGGCAGUGAGUUGCAGCACCGCAGCUCCCUCCACUGCUGGGGCUGUGCGCCAGUGCCCCCUGUUCUUUGUCAUUCAGGUAAACUGGGAAAUCCUCGCUAACCUCAGC